Molecule: long non-coding RNA, 9399 nt
Organism: Hippopotamus amphibius kiboko
Lineage: Eukaryota; Metazoa; Chordata; Mammalia; Artiodactyla; Hippopotamidae
Exons: 7
Source: RefSeq, a predicted model, not a curated record
GUGGAGUCCUAGUAAUGAUAGAAUUACAAGGUCAGGGUGUAUAACCACUUUAAAGGCUUGUCAUAUCUGUUGCUCUUUCAUGACUGUUGAUCAAGUUAGAAUUUUUAGUGUGGAGUCACCCAGUUAAGCCAUGUGUUCUUAGUGCCUAAAUGUUUUUGGCUUUGUCUUUUUUUGUGUCAACCAGGCAUCCCUCCACAUUUGUGGACACUGGGUGGACAAUAAAUAUUAUAUAGAACUUUAUUCCUGUCACAUUUUGCCUGUUAAAUUUGGCCCAACCUGCCAACAUCUCUCGCCUCUGAUUCAGCCACCGAUGUGGGGGUCAUGCCUUCUGUAGCUUCACUCGAGUCAGGAUGGAAAUGAGGAGAGCAGGACCUCAAGGGGAUGUCGCGUUCUUUCCCAAUAAGGCUAAUUAAGUGUAUUAAGCAUUUACUAGGCACUGCACGUAUGUUAACUCAUUAUUGGGUCAUCACAGAAUUCUCUAAAAGCCGGUAUUACUGUCUCCACUUUAAGAUGUGGAAACUGAAAUUCAGGGAAGGAAACUGUCAAGCUGGUCACCCUGCUCCAAGUGAGCAGAGCCAGGAUCCCUACCCUGGGCUGGGGUUUUGGUCUGCGGCCCAAACGGCCAGCCCCGCGCUAGAGGAAUCCACCACCAGGUGGCGGCAGAGCCAGUGGGCCCAGGAAGGACCUCUCACUGGAGAUCAGAAAACAGCCACAAAACUGCAUUUUCUUCCUGUAAAGUAGCACUGACUCUUAUUGACAUGCCCAAAACUAGAUUAUUCAGUAAAAUAAACAUUAACCCAACAGGCACAUUCCUUGGGUUGAAAAGAUAAUAAAGUAAACAGACCUUUGAACGUGGACCUUUCCAGCCUAGAUUUCAUGGCUGUGAUGCCUCGGGGGAAAUCUCCGCUCCUAACUCACCUGCGCUAGGAUGAUCCUCCCUGACUUUCCACCCACUCCUUGCUGCUUCUGCCCCCUGCACUCUACACCCCUAGCGGUAAUCCAGGCUGGGACGUCCUCAGCUGGGAGAGCUGAUCAGAAACUGGGGCAGAGGUUUUAGAGAGGGGAACUUGGUGGCCCAUGAAAGCACUCCUGGGACUGAGAUAGUCCCGGUUUUGGGGAGAAUCCUCAACUUGCCAUCAACCACCCACCCUCCCAACCUAUCCAGCUUGCCAUGAAGGACGUGUCUCUUUCUGUGAUCUGAGAGUCCACAAACCCCUCUCAUGUCUUCAGUCUCCCAGUCACGGUUUGAGAUUUUUCUGCCUCCUUUAAAAAAAAAAAAAAAAAAAAAAGGCUUUAUGCUUUCUCUUUAGAGUUCCUGGACCAGCACCAGGGCUUUGCUUGGUGCUUCCCCCUCUUGCCCUGCAGCAUCUUUUUCAAACCCUUUGACUCUCCGCCAACAGAAAUAGAACAGCAAAAGGAGUUUUUAACACUCUGUUACACGUAGGUUCUGCCGCAUGGUCCGGGGUGGGCUCGAAGCCACCCCGUGGUGUCCCCUGCUGCAGUCUGACUGCUCCCGCGCCCAGUCCUUGCUUGGGGGAGGGUCUCUCUGCUGCACCGGCGGAGACAAGUUCCCGGCAGUCAGGGGCCUCUGGCGCUGGAGAAGCGGCCGGGAGAGGAGCUCUGAGCCCCACCCUGUACAAGUUUUGUGGUUUGGGGUAGGUUAUGUGAGUUUUUGAGACUUGGUUUCCUCCGUGCAAAGUGGACAUAAGGGACUUCUCUGGCGGUCCGGUGGUUAAGACUCCGUGCUUCCCCUGCAGGGGUUGUGGGUUCGAUCCCUGGCUGGGAGCUAAGAUCCCACAUGCCGUGCGGCACAGCCAAAAGAUACAAAAAUAAAUAAGUAAAUAAACUUUUUUAAAAAACAUAAAAAAAAAAAAAACCAAAGCACGCGUAAGUAUAGCGCCUACUGUGCAGAAAUGUUGUGUUAGGUACAGUAAUGCAUGUCAAGUGCUUAGCACAGUGCUUUGGCGCACUGGGCUAAGUGCUCGGUGAUGCUGGCUAUUGUUCAGUUAAAUAGGGGGUGGGGGUAGCUAAUGGGAUCAGAACAUUACUGCUGGCGGACCCGUAGAGAUCAGGCGAUGCGACGGUCUGGGUGUUCAUUUCCCUCCAGAUUCCUAUGUUGAAAUCCUGAUGCCCAGCCUGAAGGUAUUAGCGGGUGAGGUCUUUGGCCCUGAGGGUGGAGCCCUCGGGAACGGAAUCAGUGCUGUUGUAAAAGAGACCCCGCAGAGCCCUCUCGGCCCUUCCACCCUGCGAGGGCCCGGCAGGAAGUCAGCACCCGGAAGAGGGCUCUCACCGCCACACGACCCUGCUGACGGCCGAUCGUGGACUUCCAGCCUCCAGACUGUGGGAAAUUGCUGUUGCUCAGCAGUGUGUGCGGUGAUGUCACAGCAGCCUGAACGGACGUAGGCGGGAUAAUUCUCUCAGAUAACCGGGUGUCUUGCUUUACCAGCUUGGAUGAAAAUAAGAAACUAUUUUUUAAGGUCCAAAUAAGUGAUUCCAAGCUCCCAACAUACAACUUAUUAAGAAUGUUUCCCAUUAUGUGUCCAUUAUAUCUCAGUAACGCUUAAAAAAAGGUGUCCUCCCAAUAGUGAAUCUAGAGACUCUGAGCGGUUUCCAGUCGUGGUCACUUCACGUCUGAGAAGAUAUGAGGCCAAAAGGACCUCCCAGGCCACAGCUGUAUCUCAGGGCUCUCUCUGCAGGUUGGGGGUCAGCCAGGGCUGGCCUGGGCUCCCGUGGCGAUGGUGUUUUAGAGAUGGCGUUCUUUGAGCUUCUCCACACAGGCGCUGGUCAGCCUGGGCUGGUUCUCCCCGCAGCUCUGGAUCCUGCAGGGCUCUGGGUCCCCCGGGAGCUGGAGGCUGUCCCUCGUUGCAGCUGCCAGCAAAAUGAAGUGGCAGCCCAGCGGUGCUCCUGUGAAUGCCACCCCCCUGCACCCAGCACCAGCUCACCCCCAGCCCCAAAGCUGCUCCCUGUCCUCCCAACAUCUCCAAGUCGCGUUCCGAAAGCCCCAGAGGAAGCCCUUCCUCUCCCAGGCCUAGGUUCGCAGCAGCCCCAGAGUCCUCCUCCCUGCAGCAUCUCCAAUUUCCUUCAGGAGAAGCUACCAUCCUGCUGCUCCUGUGUUUCGGUGAGAAAACGGCAGCCUGAGGGAGGUGAGGUGACUGCCCAGCACCCAGGGCUGGUCAGGGGCAGGGCCCACGUGUCCUGACAGCCAGCACAGAGCUCCGCCCAGACCACAGCAGGCCUAGGUUAGAAUGUAGAAAUCGGGAGGGACAGGUAGGGGUCGGGGCCAGGAGCAGGUCCGUUAAGUGGGCACCGCGGGGAGCUGUGGGGGCCGUUGAGUUUGCUGUGUGGGGGUGGAUGUGAAGAAGGGGCCAAGGCCCCUAGAUGCUGGUUUUCAUUUUUGAUGGAAAGUUGUCUCAAGAGCUGUGCCAUUAGGUGCUUAAUGAAUCAGAAACAGUUUUUUGAGGAUGAGAAGGAAAUACCCAGUGCUGGCUUAUGGGCUGUAGGGCUGUUUUAAAGAGCAAAACCAAAACCAUGAAGUCUGGGGACUGUGAAUUCCAGUCAUGUGCGUGCGAGCUGCUGUUAAUUUGCAGAUUGAACCUGGGCCCUAACAAGGCACACAUAAAAUUAAAUGAACUAAUUAGUGCUCAUGUUGGCACCUGCUGUCAGGACAGUUACGCAGUGAGGGAGCGGUGACAGCCUAAGAACUUUAAAUAGGGUUCUUCUUUUCUUGGUCAGCUGCGUGAAUGCGGAGCUGCAAAAAGCACGGAAACACACUUGAGCACACCACCACCAUCCCAGCAGCCCCCACACGGAUGGAUGGGGUCAACACGGAGUGGUCAGAAACCGGAGAUCCCAUCAGUCCUGACCCAGAUAGGGCCUGACCUCUCUGUGCUGGCAACUUGUGGACCCUUUCUCCAGGGUACUCUUCCUUAUUGAGACCGGGAGCAGCUUGGGGUGCCUGGCAUCAAGGUGCUUGGUGCAGGAGGGAUGGGGGAAUUCAUCUAGCUUUGGCUACGUGUAUCUUGGGGUUGCAGGCUGGGGCAUCCAGGCUGCUCAGAGCCCUUUAUCCCAGACCUUCAGAGAGGGGAGCUGUUGCUCUAGGUGCUGGCUGCUUCCACCUUAAGGCAGUGGAUCUCGAAGUGUGGAGUGAGGGGACCAGCAGAUCAGCAUCACCUGGGAACUUAGAAAGCCAGGUUCCCAGCCCCACCCCAGACCUGCUGAAUCACGAACUCCGUGUAGGUGGUGGGAGCAACACCCUCCUGGUAGCUCGGAUGCACCUUCAAGUUUAAGACGUUCUGCCCUAGGGGGUCCUGGGACGGUAGUAGCUUCAGGUUAAGCGUGUGGCCUGCGUUCCAGUUCUGGCUUUGCAGUGGGUGGGCCGAGGGCGAGGCUGGGGGGCGCCUGCAGGUGGAUUGUAAGAGGGCCUGGCUCUCUGGUGGACCCUGGCUCUAGCCACCUCCGUUGCCUCCCCCUGUUGCCAGCCCUGUCUUCCCAGUGAGUGGGUGUGCGACCUUGGACCCUAAAGAACUGAGUUCUGGUUUUGUUGCUCUGAGGUGGCGCCCUAGGAAUGUGCAUUUUAAGAGCUCCCCAGUUAUUCUUGAUGGUCCGCCAGACUUGGAGAUUGCUGGCUUAACAUCUGUGAACCUCAGUUUUCUAACCUGUAAAACCGGAUGGUAGUGUCUGCGUCAUGGGGUCGUGGUGGGGAUUAAACGAAGUAGUGCAGGGAAAGCCCUUAGCAGCCAUGUAGCCAUUUCCUUGGAGAGAUCUGUUUCCAUGCUGAAUCCCCCGUCCUACCAUCGACUUCACCUCAAACCUAGGGGGAGAGGCUUCCACGGGGCUACUUGGAGAACUUACCAAGCACUUCAGUUACCUAUUGCUGCAAAACAAUCCACCCCCAAAAUUAGUGCCUUAAAGCAGUAAUCGCUGAUUUGUUCACAUUUUUACAGUUUGGCCUAGGCUCAGUGGGGACAUCUGUCUGUGCUCCACAUGGCUCGGUCACCUGGCUGGCAAGUUGGUGCUGGCUGACGGCUGGGAGGUCAGCUGGCCUUGUUGGCCGAGGGGCUCGUUCUCCUCCCUGUGGCUGCCUGGGCCUCCUCCCAGCAUGGAUGCUGGGUGCCAACAGGGAGGAAGGGGACGCUGCCAGUCUUCUUAAAGGAUGGGUCCGGGACUGGCUGUGUCACUUCCAGCCGUGCUGUUGGUUACGCGUCACAGGCUAGUCCACAUUUCAGGGGUGGGAUAGUAGAUUCUGCUUCUUGACAGCUGAGUGGACGUGCGCAUGGGAAGGGAGGCACUGAUGGUGGCCACCUCUGGAGACGGUGGCCACCUAUGGAGACGGCGACCACCUCUGGAGACGGCGACCACAGGCCUCUGGGGCUGAGGGGGUGAGUGGGGCCCAGGAGCUGAUUCCUUUCUCUGGAGCAUGACAGACAGAUGUGCUCGCGCGGGGCUCUGGAGGCAGAGCCAGGACCGUGCAACUUCAUUAGGACCAAGGGGAUUGCGAGUGUUUCCCAUGGAUCACACGUGGGCCACGCAGAGGAGGGAGACCGGGAGGCUCCAGCAGCAAGACGCUGGCCAUUCGCAUACAGAUGAGUCGUGGAUGAAGGGAGCCGUGAGAGAGAGGUCUAGGGCUGGGAGUCUCGCAGCAAUCCACGAAAGCACCUACAACUGAGGACCUGCUGCACAGCACGGGGAGCUCUCCUCAGUGCUCUGUGCGGACCUAAAUGGGAAGGAAAUCCGAAAAAGGGGAUGUAUGUAUACCUAUAGCUGAUUUACUUUGCCGUAUAGCAGAAGCUAACACAACAUUGUAAAGCAACUAUACCCCAAUUAAAAAAAAGAAAAGUCUGCUUAAAUUCUCUACCAGCCCGGAGAGUACAAAGCUGUCCAGCCAAGUAGUGUAUGACCAGUCCCCUCAUCCCACCUCCUGCCCUUUCCCUCACCUGGUGAGGAUGGAAAGAGCCGCAGUGUGGUGGGGAGGAGAGGGGAUCAGAUUGGAGGAAUAAGCAGCCUUUCCCAGAGAUGGUACCACCAACUCCAAGCCUUGGUUGGGAGGGAGGAAGAAGACUCCUUUAAGUGAAGCGUCAAGACUGUCUAAUAUAUAACUACGGAACAAGACUGACUUUCUGACCUAAAGUAACUACAAGGCUCUCUCUUCCCUAAAACUGAGCACGCAAGAGUCACGCGGUAGAAGGAUGAAAAUUUACCCACUGAUAACAUUUAAAGGCUAGUGGGAGACAGAAGAAAGUUUAGUUGGUGACAAACCAUGCUUGUUCCUCAUACAGAUACAAUCAAUGAUCGUGACUGCAGCAAACCCUGGGCCCGGGCUGGAACUCCGCCAUGACGCUGUGUCCAAAGGCCACCGUGUGAGCAGGCGGGACCCUUAGGUGUUGUGCAGGGUGUUUGUUCCCAUGGCCUUGCUUCGCAGUGGGGAGAGGCUCACCAGAAAGUUCUCCCAGAUCCCAGGGAAGGUGGUUUUCAUUUCCCUCUGGGGCCUCAGAUCCAUCAGGUAGGGAAAGUAUCUGCGACCCUUCUGGACCUCUUGUCCUGGUCUGGAGGUGUCUUCCGUCUCUGUCUGCCUCAGGCCUUGGGUCUAGAGAUGACUACACCUCCCUCACAGGUGUGACUUGGCACCCAUGGGCCAGGAUCUUCAUACUGUCCCUGUGUUGACAGCCGUGGUUGUGGGCGCAAGCAGAUGAGGGGUCGCUGGUGGUAAGGAGAUGCUGGCUGCAUCAAUAAAAUACAACCCAGAGUUUCUAAGUCUGGUCAUGAGACAGAAGCUCUUUUGGAGAGAGAGGGGCUGUGGCUCUUUUCAGCUAUCCCUGCCUCCCACGCACUGCUUUCACCUUGGUGCCCUGACCCACGUGUGGAGGCACCAUCUUUUCUCAUGGUCUGAACGGCUGAGACAAGACGAGCCCCCUUCAACAGGUUUGACCAAAAUCUUAGGCCAUACAAACGAGCAGUGAACGCAGAGAGGUCCCUCUCUCUGACCCCAGACCUCCCAGCUCUACAGGGUGGACACCACCUUGGCCCCAAGGUCAGAACGAUGAGGAUGGUGGAAAGAAGUGGAUCCCUCCCCCCUGCCUGCCUAGGGCCUCAUUUUAAGUGAAGAACCUCUUCUUCCCAGAGGGGAUUAGCCCUGGAAAUAACAUCCUCUCAAGGAAGUCUGGAUGCACAGCUGUCCCCUCCCCAUUCCAAGGGAUUCCUACGUCAGGUUCAAGUUAUAUUUCAACACCAUGACCCCAGGAUUCAUAUAGCAAAGCUCAUCCACACAGCAGUAAAGCUUGGAUCUAGAUCUUGUUGAACUCUUAAGCAGCCAAUAAAAUCUCCUAGGAUUCUUCCAGUCAUUAGUGCUAGUCAACAAAUGUUUACGCUUCAUCUUCCUGCCACAUCUUUUGCUUUGAAGUUAGGUGUAGGCCUGUGAAAUGGUUUUAAAAUAUCCACACGUUCUUUGAUACUCCUCCUUUCAGGAGGUGGAGCUUAGCUUUGCCCUUAUAGUAUGGGCUGGAGUUAUGACUCAGAAGUUUCUGACUUCUGAGACUAGGUCCUAAAAGGUUUUGUGGCUUCCUCUUGGACUCCCUAUUGACUUGCUCAUUCCAGGGGAAGCCAGCUGCCAUGUCAUGAGAACACUCAAAAAGAGUGCUUUAGAGAGUUGUAUGUGGCAAGAGCCCGAGGCCUCCUGCCAACAACCAGUCCUGAGCUGCCAGACGUGUUAGUGAGCCGCCUUGCAAGCAGAUCCUCUGGCCCCGUCAAGCCUCCAAAUGCCUGUAGCCUUGUGAGAGACCUGGGGCCAGAACCACCCAGCUAAUCGUCUUACAGAUUCCUGACCCUCAGAAGCUACGUGAGAUCAUAAACAUUCAUUGUUUUCAGCUACUAAGCAUUGGGGUUAUUUGUUAUAUGGCAGUUGAUAACUAAUACACCUGUGAUUUGCUUUGGCUUAUGAAGAAUGGACAGACGUGUCGCCUGUCAUUUCCAGGAAGAAACCCUUAAGAAUAAGAGAGCCUGUGCCAGCUUGGAGAUUUCAGACCUCUCCUUAGAGCCUCAUUAUCCUAGUGAGGUCAGCCUUGCCAAGUGUCCACCACCCAGGCAUCUUCCCCCUACGAUUUCAGCUUGUUUUCAUCUUGUGACUCUCUGCUCAUGUUUUAUGAAAGACAUCUCUUCUUCCAUCUUAUUGAAGAUGACAGGAACCAGGGCUUCUAGGGAAAAUGGCUGAUUCCGGGUCUGGAUGGGAAAUAUACAAGAUAAACCUGAACAUCCUGUCACACCAGACAGUGAGGAUUAUACGUCAAAAGGAUUCAGGAAUCGAUGUGAAGGGGCUUCCAUUGGCCGAUGCUGGAUCAUCCGAGCAUCAGUGCGGAUAACGGCCAUGGAUGGAACCACUCAGUAUUAAAACUCCUCAAAAGCUGCCAUGUUGUGAUAAGCUCUGUGGAGAAGCCCAUAUCUCAAGGAACCAAGGAAUCCUCAGUCCGCCAACCAUUAAGGAGCUGAAUCCCAUCAACAGCCAUGUGAGGGAGGGAGGAAGUGCGUCUUUCCUUGUUGAGCACGAAGAGAAGCCCAGAGCCAGGGACCCAGAAUGCUGCUUUGCAACGUGGUAGCACCGUUAAGCUUCAGGAACGGAAGCAGACUGGCUUGUUCUGAAAUGACGUCUGAGAGGAGCAUGGUUUAAAAUGGCAGCUCUCAAACCUUCAAGAAUAGAGCGUCUCACCUCUGGCCGCACAUUAGAAUGACCCAGAGUAUGAAAAACAUGACCCCUGCCUAACCCAGUCCCAGCCCAGUUGGGAACCACUGCUCAGACCGGAGGCAGGCUGACCUGCCAGAGGGCAAAGAUGCCAGCAGUGCCCCCUCAGUUGUGGCAACUAAAAAUAUCUCCAAAAAAAACAAAAAUAUCUCCAGAUGUUGCCAGAUGUAACCUGGGAGCAGCCCUUCCACCACCAUUAAGAACACUGAGACUUCAGGGAGACUGUCUCAAAGAAAGACCAGUGUGGAGCCCCUGUGAAUACUGAAGACCCAGAGAAGGUAUCUGGUGUAUUUGGGUAGCUGGGGCCCUGACUAAACUGGAGCAUUUGGGUAGUGGGUGAAUCCUCAGAAGUUAAUUAAUUCUAUGAAAAGCUCAGGUGCAGAAAUAUAUAUGCAUAUGGACAUAGAAGGAUGAAAGGAUGAAACCAUAGUUUCAUGAGAAACACAGCUCAAAAUGCAUGCUUUUCCUCCUAUAGUCACUGUGGGGAGCUUUACACUUGUGCCAGAGGUGCCUCAUCAUGCAGGGUGGGGCUGGGGCUGUCCUGCGGAGCUGCUUCGGCUCUGAAAUCUCUGCCUGUGGCACGUCUUCACCGUUUGGAAACAGCUAGCAGUUGCCAAAAAUGGUGAGCAAGGUAGACAACCAAAUUAGGUGAGUAUGUGUAUUUUCUCAAA